Molecule: non-coding RNA, 503 nt
Organism: Marmota flaviventris (yellow-bellied marmot)
Lineage: Eukaryota; Metazoa; Chordata; Mammalia; Rodentia; Sciuridae
Source: RefSeq, a predicted model, not a curated record
GAGAAGAUUUGUGCUCAAGUGUGCUACAUGUUCCUGGUGACUGAGGGAUGCAAUGAUUAAAACAGGAAGCACCGAGUGCUGACUGACUCCAAGAACCAGAUCACUGAGGCUCCCUUGCCAGCUGGCUUCCAGAAGCAUUUAAUAAAUGGGAGAAUCAGGAGAAGAGCCAAGAAAUCAACGGAAGUUGUACAACUUUGGAGCCUAAUUCUUCAGAGGUCUUGUGGCUUCCGCUGUUGCCUUCUGGAGUGCUGUCCUUCCAUGUACUGUGAAGCCUGAUCUAGUUUACCAGGUGAUGUGAGGCCACAUGGAGCACAGAUGAGCCAUUCUGGCUGAGGCCUCCUGCACCUACCAGCUGUCAGUCAGAUCAACCUGUGAACAUGGAAGUGAGGCUAUUUUGGACCAUCUUAGGUUGUCUAGUCUUAGUCAAGUCUCCAGAGGCCUGCAUCUGUAUGAGUGACCCCAGGAGAGACCAGAAGAGGAGCUGUGCAAGAAAACAGUCCAGA